GCCCAGACUCCUACGGGAGGCAGCAGUGGGGGAUAUUGCACAAUGGGGGAAACCCUGAUGCAGCGACGCCGCGUGUGGGAAGACGGUCUUCUGGAUUGUAAACCACUGUCCCCAGGGACGAAAAUGACGGUACCUGGGGAGGAAGCUCCGGCUAACUACGUGCCAGCAGCCGCGGUAAUACGUAGGGAGCAAGCGUUGUCCGGAAUUACUGGGUGUAAAGGGAGCGUAGGCGGGGAUGCAAGUUGGGUGUCAAAACUAUCGGCUCAACCGAUAGUCGCACUCAAAACUGCAGCUCGUGAGUGAAGUAGAGGCAGGCGGAAUUCCUAGUGUAGCGGUGAAAUGCGUAGAUAUUAGGAGGAACACCAGUGGCGAAGGCGGCCUGCUGGGCUUUUACUGACGCUGAGGCUCGAAAGUGUGGGGAGCAAACAGGAUUAGAUACCCCAGUA
This 446-nucleotide ribosomal RNA is filed under the name uncultured bacterium. RNAcentral's name for it is "partial 16S ribosomal RNA". It matches the Rfam family "Bacterial small subunit ribosomal RNA", at positions 329 to 792 of the family's 1533-position model. The record is from RNAcentral.